AUGCUGCUCUGCUCACUGAUCUGCAAUAAACCUGUAAGAUGCACAAACACAACACUGCGGAAAGGAAACCCGGCAGCAGCUCUCAGACGCUCGAGAAAAGGAGUCUCGGAGCACUCCCAGCACGGCAGGGAUGACUUGGCACUGCUACCCCUCUCUGACAGACCCCGGGCACUGCCAGCACCGUCCCCAGCGGUGUCCCUGUCCCGGGCACUGGGGCACAUCGUGUGGCACGCGAGGACUUUCACCACUGAGACACCGACACCGCGCGAGCCAACUCCCGCCCCCGGCCGAGAGCCGCCAGCCCCCCGCGCCGGGGCCGCCUCCUCCCCGGGCCCCGACCGCGCCCGCUCCCCCGCGCUCCGCUACCUCCUCCCCGGCCCCGCCGCACGAUCCGCACGCCCUACGGUGCAGCAGUCCCGCGGCUGCCCCGCGCCCUGCCCGGCCCAGCUCCCCACAGCUCCGGCCCGGGCAUCGCUGCGGAGCGCGGGGCCACGGCCGGGAGGCGCCGACCCCCCUCCCCGCAUUCCGGGGGCUCCGGACGGCGCCAGGACCGGUGCCGGCGGCUCAAACCGGGCCAGGAGGGUGGGGUGGUGCCCGCUGCCCCCGGCGGCACGGGCGGGGCGGGCGCGGGGCUCGGAUGGCGCCGGGACGGGGCGGAUGCGGCGCGACCGCGGCUCCGGCCCCACUCACCGAGAGCGCGAUGGCGGAAAAGGAAGAGCCCGGGCCGCGCGGGGUGAUGGGAGGGCCAUCGGCAGGGGGAGAUAUCGCGAGACUUCGCGCCUCAAACCUGGCCCUCCCCAUUGGCCGAAGCCCCGCGCCGCACUUCCGGAGCGACGCCGCCGCCCGGCUUCCAUAGAAACGGGGACGCUUCGCGCGCGUACGGAGGCGCGUAAGAGACAAAAAGCUGCUAUCCGCCGGGCAGAGCGGGCGGCCCGGGGCAGCAGAGUUGCUACACGGGGACACCGCGACACGGGGACACCGCGACACGGGGACACCGCGACACGGGGACACCGCGACACGGGGACACCGCGACACGGGGACACCGCGACACGGCGCUGCGGUGAGCAAAGAGCCGGCUGA
Molecule: long non-coding RNA, 1080 nt
Filed under: Parus major (Great Tit)
Lineage: Eukaryota; Metazoa; Chordata; Aves; Passeriformes; Paridae
Description: lncRNA (ENSPMJG00000016327.1)
Source: RNAcentral